AUGCUUACAACAACUUGUAAAGUAAUUAUUGUUUUCUUUUUUGUGUGGACAUGGAUCAAUAACAACAAGUAUCGGAUAAGAAAUAUACUAAGACCAAACUGUGACAGAUCACUGGCACAAUGUGACAUUUUUCCAAACAAACAAAAUGACCAUCCUUAUGUAUCACACAAUGAAAAUAAUUUCCUUUAUAAACAGUUCUAUCCCCAUAUUAAAGAUAAUGAUCUAAAUAUAAAUGUUCCAAUUAUGAGAUAUGAUGAAUAUAUAUCAAUUUUGUUAAGUUAUAUUAAAAAAGGAGUAAUUGAAAAACUAUCUAACCUAAACGAUCCUCAAAUAAAGAAUGUAUUAAACAAUAAUAAAAACAUACAACAAAAAGAUUUAAUACAAGUAUAUGAAAUUUUUGAACAUGUCAUGUCAAGUGACGAAUAUUUACACAUUGUAAAAAAAAGUUGUGAAUCAUUACAAAGUACAAGCUUGGCCUACAAUCACCUUGCUGAAACAUACUACAACUCGAUGUUAUAUUUAUUCAAUAUGUAUUUUGUUCUUACUAACCGUAAAAAAUAUUUUAAAAAGUGCUUUAUGCAAUUACAACAAAAUAAUCAAGAACAACAAAUAUUUAAAAAGAAACGAUUCAAAUUCAAAGCGAAAUAUUUAAACAUAUUUAAACUCAGUAAAAAAAUAGAUAAACAUUUUAGAAUUAAAUUACUUAAAGAAGCUAUAAGAGAAGAAAUAGAUCCAUAUAUGGAAUUUUCAACUAAAAAACGUUUUAUGUUUUUUUCUUAUACAUCCUUUAUUCCUGCAGUAGUAAUAACGAUUUAUGCUUUCACCGCAUUUACUGCGUCAGCUCCUUUAGCAGCCAUACUACUAGGACUGUAUUUAUUGACAUAUCUACAUUCUUUAUAUAAAUUUUAUAAAAAUAUAGAUUUUAUAAACCGAAUUAUACACGGGUCACAACUCUCAAACAUAGAAUAUUUUAUUUAAUAAUAAAUAUGAUAAAACAAGUUAUAACA
This 1007-nucleotide long non-coding RNA is filed under the name Piliocolobus tephrosceles (Ugandan red Colobus). RNAcentral describes it as "lncRNA (ENSPTEG00000028140.1)". Lineage: Eukaryota; Metazoa; Chordata; Mammalia; Primates; Cercopithecidae. The record is from RNAcentral.